UACAGAGGGUGCGAGCGUUACUCGGAAUUAUUGGGCGUAAAGAGCUCGUAGGCGGUUUGUCACGUCUGCUGUGAAAUCCCGAGGCUCAACCUCGGGCCUGCAGUGGGUACGGGCAGACUGGAGUGCGGUAGGGGAGAAUGGAAUUCCUGGUGUAGCGGUGGAAUGCGCAGAUAUCAGGAGGAACACCGAUGGCGAAGGCAGUUCUCUGGGCCGUAACUGACGCUGAGGAGCGAAAGCGUGGGGAGCGAACAGG
This 253-nucleotide ribosomal RNA is filed under the name uncultured bacterium. RNAcentral's name for it is "partial 16S ribosomal RNA". It matches the Rfam family "Bacterial small subunit ribosomal RNA", at positions 524 to 776 of the family's 1533-position model. The record is from RNAcentral.